AGCUCAGGACGAACGCUGGCGGCGUGCCUAAUACAUGCAAGUCGAACGCUUUUUCUUUCACCGGAGCUUGCUCCACCGAAAGAAAAAGAGUGGCGAACGGGUGAGUAACACGUGGGUAACCUGCCCAUCAGAAGGGGAUAACACUUGGAAACAGGUGCUAAUACCGUAUAACACUAUCUUCCGCAUGGAAGAAAGUUGAAAGGCGCUUUUGCGUCACUGAUGGAUGGACCCGCGGUGCAUUAGCUAGUUGGUGAGGUAACGGCUCACCAAGGCAACGAUGCAUAGCCGACCUGAGAGGGUGAUCGGCCACACUGGGACUGAGACACGGCCCAGACUCCUACGGGAGGCAGCAGUAGGGAAUCUUCGGCAAUGGACGAAAGUCUGACCGAGCAACGCCGCGUGAGUGAAGAAGGUUUUCGGAUCGUAAAACUCUGUUGUUAGAGAAGAACAAGGAUGAGAGUAAAAUGUUCAUCCCUUGACGGUAUCUAACCAGAAAGCCACGGCUAACUACGUGCCAGCAGCCGCGGUAAUACGUAGGUGGCAAGCGUUGUCCGGAUUUAUUGGGCGUAAAGCGAGCGCAGGCGGUUUCUUAAGUCUGAUGUGAAAGCCCCCGGCUCAACCGGGGAGGGUCAUUGGAAACUGGGAGACUUGAGUGCAGAAGAGGAGAGUGGAAUUCCAUGUGUAGCGGUGAAAUGCGUAGAUAUAUGGAGGAACACCAGUGGCGAAGGCGGCUCUCUGGUCUGUAACUGACGCUGAGGCUCGAAAGCGUGGGGAGCGAACAGGAUUAGAUACCCUGGUAGUCCACGCCGUAAACGAUGAGUGCUAAGUGUUGGAGGGUUUCCGCCCUUCAGUGCUGCAGCAAACGCAUUAA
This 871-nucleotide ribosomal RNA is filed under the name Enterococcus sp. RNAcentral describes it as "bacterial SSU rRNA". It matches the Rfam family "Bacterial small subunit ribosomal RNA", at positions 21 to 863 of the family's 1533-position model. The record is from RNAcentral. Lineage: Bacteria; Bacillati; Bacillota; Bacilli; Lactobacillales; Enterococcaceae.